CGGCGGCGGCGGUGGGAGCGGCCGAAGCUUCGGGGAAGAGGCUGUUUCCUGGAGGGGGCGCACACUCCCCUGAGAUCGCCCUUUACCGACCUGAAGCCUUUUCUCUUCUUGCCUUUCAGCCCGGGAAGUGGGGUACCUCUCUAUCCUACCCCAAGGGGAUGCCCGUGGCCUGAGAAGCCCCCAGCCCAUAGCUCCGAGUAGUCCUCACCUUGCCCAUUUCUAACCCCACGGAGCCCCUAAUCCCAAGGAACCCCGGACCCCUUUCUGCAAGAAGUUCCUUCCUUUCAUCCAUCCCCAGGAGUUGCCCGUUUAAGCUCUUUCUGAGCCUCCUUCGCCCCUAAGGCCAUGUCCCAGGUCCGCCUCUCACUCCGUAACCCGAGGAGUCCCCUAACCGCUACCCUGGGGGCCCAGCCCCCCCUCUCCAACUGCUUCCUCUGCAGGCCUCACCAUCGCCUCCUGAAUAGUUUUACGCUCCUUGAGACCCUCAUUUUCGUGGGGCGGGAGACCCUCCCUCCUUGGGUCACCCGGUCCACCAGACUCUAUUCCUUUGAGCGGCGUGGAGGAAGAGGGAGAAGGUGGCAGCAAAUGCCUACAAAAGGGUUUAUCAAGAUUCGACAACCACAGCAGGUGCAGUCAUUCCAGAUAGCCCGUCGAGAUCUCCUAUAUCUCUUCCACGCCAUGCGCAAAUAUCAUGACAAGCCCUGGCUCCUGCACCAUGUCAUCAC
Molecule: long non-coding RNA, 725 nt
Organism: Physeter macrocephalus (sperm whale)
Lineage: Eukaryota; Metazoa; Chordata; Mammalia; Artiodactyla; Physeteridae
Exons: 3
Source: RefSeq, a predicted model, not a curated record